Molecule: ribosomal RNA, 459 nt
Filed under: uncultured bacterium
Lineage: Bacteria
Description: bacterial SSU rRNA
Rfam family: Bacterial small subunit ribosomal RNA
Source: RNAcentral
GCACCCGCACAAGCGGUGGAGCAUGCUGUUUAAUUCGAAGAUACGCGAAGAACCUUACCUAGACUUGACAUCCCCGGCAAAGCUAUAGAAAUAUAGUGGAGGCUACCCGGGUGACAGGUGGUGCAUGGUUGUCGUCAGCUCGUGUCGUGAGAUGUUCGGUUAAGUCCGAUAACGAGCGCAACCCUUAUCGUUAGUUACUAACAUUUAGUUGAGUUCUCUAACGAGACUGCCGGUGACAAACCGGAGGAAGGUGGGGAUGAUGUCAAAUCAUCAUGCCCCUUACGUCUAGGGCUACAGGCGUGCUACAAUGGCCGAUACAAAGAGACGCAAUACCGCGAGGUGGAGCUAAUCUCCAAAAACGGUCUCAGUUCGGAUUGAAGUCUGCAACUCGACUUCAUGAAGUUGGAAUCGCUAGUAAUCCUGAAUCAGAAUGUCAGGGUGAAUACGUUCCCGGGUGUU